Molecule: unclassified non-coding RNA, 263 nt
Filed under: plant metagenome
Description: partial contains small subunit ribosomal RNA, internal transcribed spacer 1, and 5.8S ribosomal RNA
Source: RNAcentral
UUUCCGUAGGUGAACCUGCGGAAGGAUCAUUAUCACAUACCCGAGGUUCCCUGGCUGUCGCUGACCUGACAGGUGGUGCACGACCGAGUGCGCCCCCACACAUCCAUCUCACCCCUGUGUGUACUACCGCGUGGGUCCCCCUAUGGCUUUUUCGGAGGGUAGCUCACGCUUUCACACAAACUUUGUAUGCAUUAUAGAAUGUAUUUUUCGUUUCAGCGCUCACACAAUCAAUACAACUUUCAACAACGGAUCUCUUGGCUCUC